UUUAAAGAUGUUUUUUUUUUAUAUCUAUUUAACGGCACUUAAAAGCGUCUCAAUUUUGUCUAGCGUCACAUUUGAAAACGUUGAUAAAUGAAGAAUCGCCACAUAUAUACCGACGCUUACGCCAAGUGUCAGUAAAAUAUAUUCUGACGCUUUAAAACAUCAGGAUUUUUUGAGAUCCUGACGCUUUAAAGGGCCGAAAAAUUAAAAAAAAUAGUACAGUUAUUAUGUAAUAAAUUGGUUUGAUACAAUAAAGGACUUAUAUAACAACACUUUUUGAACCAUCGAUAUUUGCUAUAUUAUAGGGAUAUAUGCUUGAGGACGCUUCCCCAAGAUCGUCUAAACAACGUUCUU
Molecule: long non-coding RNA, 351 nt
Filed under: Ananas comosus (pineapple)
Lineage: Eukaryota; Viridiplantae; Streptophyta; Magnoliopsida; Poales; Bromeliaceae
Description: long non-coding RNA (ACOM_LNC017458)
Source: RNAcentral